RNAcentral lists this ribosomal RNA (506 nucleotides) under uncultured bacterium. RNAcentral describes it as "partial 16S ribosomal RNA". It matches the Rfam family "Bacterial small subunit ribosomal RNA", at positions 28 to 523 of the family's 1533-position model. The record is from RNAcentral.
GAUGAACGCUAGCUACAGGCUUAACACAUGCAAGUCGAGGGGUAACGAGAGGAAAGCUUGCUUUCCUUGUCGACGACCGGCGCACGGGUGAGUAACGCGUAUCCAACCUGCCCCCAACUAGGGAAUAACCUUGCGAAAGUAAGACUAAUACCCUAUAAUUUCCUCAGAUGUCAUCUGACGAGGAAUAAAGAUUUAUCGGUUGUGGAUGGGGAUGCGUCUGAUUGGCUUGUUGGCGGGGUAACGGCCCACCAAGGCAACGAUCAGUAGGGGUUCUGAGAGGAAGGUCACCCACAGUGGAACUGAGACAAGGUCCAAACUCCUACGGGAGGCAGCAGUGAGGAAUAUUGGUCAAUGGGCGGAAGCCUGAACCAGCCAAGUAGCGUGCAGGAUGACGGCCCUAUGGGUUGUAAACUGCUUUUAUACAGGAAUAAAGUUAGCCACGUGUGGUUAUUUGUAGGUACUGUAUGAAUAAGGGCCGGCUAAUUCCGUGCCAGCAGCCGCCGUAA